This 266-nucleotide ribosomal RNA is filed under the name Vibrio cholerae. RNAcentral's name for it is "partial 16S ribosomal RNA". It matches the Rfam family "Bacterial small subunit ribosomal RNA", at positions 1 to 262 of the family's 1533-position model. The record is from RNAcentral. Lineage: Bacteria; Pseudomonadati; Pseudomonadota; Gammaproteobacteria; Vibrionales; Vibrionaceae.
UUAAUUGAAGAGUUUGAUCAUGGCUCAGAUUGAACGCUGGCGGCAGGCCUAACACAUGCAAGUCGAGCGGCAGCACAGAGGAACUUGUUCCUUGGGUGGCGAGCGGCGGACGGGUGAGUAAUGCCUGGGAAAUUGCCCGGUAGAGGGGGAUAACCAUUGGAAACGAUGGCUAAUACCGCAUAACCUCGCAAGAGCAAAGCAGGGGACCUUCGGGCCUUGCGCUACCGGAUAUGCCCAGGUGGGAUUAGCUAGUUGGUGAGGUAAGG